This is a long non-coding RNA of Dermacentor albipictus, 1578 nucleotides long. RefSeq lists it as uncharacterized. The record is from RefSeq and is a predicted model, not a curated record. Lineage: Eukaryota; Metazoa; Arthropoda; Arachnida; Ixodida; Ixodidae.
GGCGCGAGAUCGACAUGCUCGUGUCCUGCACGCAUCUGUCGGACGAAGACGAUGCUGGCCUCUCGUGAUUCACCACCAGAUCAAGCGGGCGAGGCAGCACGGGGGCCGACGGCACGAGUCAAACAAGCAUGGGUCAUCAUUUGUUCAAAGAAUCCCGCCCUGUAGACGUCCAUGGGCGUAGUGUCCGGAGGACCCGGGUCGGAAAGCGUCCCUUGUCUGCGCCGGAUUACCUCGACCCAUUUCUCGACUCACUGGCUGCCCUCGAACAUCGCCUCUGGUGACAGGUUGCACAGCGUUAUCAGGUCCACUGCAGUGUGCAAGGUCCACCUGGCUCCUGGAGCAGUGAGGUGAACAGCAUCCGUUGCCGCAUACGCAUGUCAGGCCACAUGUGCCAGCUGCGAACAACAGCAACGUGCUCACCGUAAGUGGCGAUGAUGGCGAGGAUCUCCCCACCGCGGACUCGGAACGACAAUCCCUCGAUCGGGAGCAACUUGCUGCCGGACCGCCGAACAGCCGCUGACCCAGGCUGGAGAAGUUCAGCUGGAACGUCAGGUCUCGAACUUGCGUCACAGUGGCCACAUUUAUCGCCACGACAACGAGGCAAUUGACACACUUGUCGGAAAUGCCGACAAACGCUUGGUUACACAUACACACAAAUAAACAGACUCAUGGCAGCGCUGGUCACAAGACCAGAAGAGGACGACGACGGCGGCUUUUAGCGCCGAUGACGUGCAAGACGACUCACGCUUUUGUACCACGAGUCCGACUAAUAAGUAUUUGCCGCGUAGAUCUUCACUAGCCUCAGGAGAGGUUGGGACGGGUCAUCGAAAUAGAGCAUCGGUAACACAGGCUCACCAAGAUACGCUGUUGGUAACGGCAGAGGAAGCGCAAUGAGUGAAACGUUGGUGGAUGGAAUGAAUAGCCCAAAGAACGGAAAAUCACGCACGGCGGCAAAAUGUGAUGUUCAUGGGAGCGUAUUAUAUUCGCGCAAUGUGUUUUUCACCAAGUCACCAAGGUGUUCCGGGACCCGUUCAAGCCUGUACUGCACAACGCAGAUUCUGUGUAGUGCGCGUUAGAGACUUCGUAAUUUAAAUUUGUGCAAGUGGAGCACAAGUAGUGAUAUGAAUUCAUAAUCAGGCUAUCUUAAUGUCCAGCGUUCUCCCAUUACCACUAUCCUGUGCCAGCUAUUUCCAACUUGCACAUGCGAAUUUUCUCAUCAUCCCACCUCGACUGCACUUCCCUUUUCUUGGCGCCCAUUUGGUAACUAUAACGGUCCACCGGUUAUCCCUUCUACGCAAUACAUAGCCAGCCCAGCUCCAUUGUUAUCUCUUCAUGUCUAUUACAAUAGCGGCUAUCCUUGUUUACCGUCUGAUCACAGCGCUCUUUUCCUCUCUGUUAGUGUUACGACUAACAUUCUUCGUCCCAUUGCUCUUUAUGCGGUCUUGUUCUCGAGCUUCGUUGUCAACCUCGAUGUUUCGGCCCCAUACGUUGGCACUGGUAGAAUGCAGUGAUUGUAUACUUUUAUUUUCUGCGUUAGUGUUACGCUCCCAGUCAGGACGUGGCAAUGGCUGUCGUACA